UACGAAAGGGGCUAGAGUUGGUCGGAAUUACUGGGCGAAAAGCGCACGUAGGCGGCCUUGUAAGUUGGGGGUGAAAUCCCGGGGCUCAACUCCGGAACUGCCUUCAAGACUGCAAAGCUAGAGGACGCGAGAGGUUAGCGGAAUUCCGAGUGUAGAGGUGAAAUUCGUAGAUAUUCGGAAGAACACCAGUGGCGAAGGCGGCUAACUGGCGCGUUUCUGACGCUGAGGUGCGAAAGCGUGGGGAGCAAACAGG
Molecule: ribosomal RNA, 253 nt
Filed under: uncultured bacterium
Lineage: Bacteria
Description: partial 16S ribosomal RNA
Rfam family: Bacterial small subunit ribosomal RNA
Source: RNAcentral